This 970-nucleotide ribosomal RNA is filed under the name Alicyclobacillus tolerans. RNAcentral's name for it is "bacterial SSU rRNA". It matches the Rfam family "Bacterial small subunit ribosomal RNA", at positions 538 to 1508 of the family's 1533-position model. The record is from RNAcentral. Lineage: Bacteria; Bacillati; Bacillota; Bacilli; Caryophanales; Alicyclobacillaceae.
GCAGCGUGUCGGAUCACUGGGCGUAAGGGUGCGUAGGCGGUUCUACCAGUCUGGGGUGAAAGGCCAGGGCUCAACCUUGGGAAUGCCUUGGAAACUGUAGGACUUGAGUGCUGGAGAGGCAAGGGGAAUUCCACGUGUAGCGGUGAAAUGCGUAGAGAUGUGGAGGAAUACCAGUGGCGAAGGCGCCUUGCUGGACAGUGACUGACGCUGAGGCACGAAAGCGUGGGGAGCAAACAGGAUUAGAUACCCUGGUAGUCCACGCCGUAAACGAUGAGUGCUAGGUGUUGGGGGGUACCACCCUCAGUGCCGAAGGAAACCCAAUAAGCACUCCGCCUGGGGAGUACGGUCGCAAGACUGAAACUCAAAGGAAUUGACGGGGGCCCGCACAAGCAGUGGAGCAUGUGGUUUAAUUCGAAGCAACGCGAAGAACCUUACCAGGGCUUGACAUCCCUCUGACGGUAUCAGAGAUGAUACGUCCCUUCGGGGCAGAGGAGACAGGUGGUGCAUGGUUGUCGUCAGCUCGUGUCGUGAGAUGUUGGGUUAAGUCCCGCAACGAGCGCAACCCUUGACCUGUGUUACCAGCACGUAGAGGUGGGGACUCACAGGUGACUGCCGGCGCAAGUCGGAGGAAGGCGGGGAUGACGUCAAAUCAUCAUGCCCCUGAUGUCCUGGGCGACACACGUGCUACAAUGGGCGGCACAACGGGAAGCGAGAGAGCGAUCUGGAGCGAACCCCUGAAAACCGCUCGUAGUUCGGAUUGCAGGCUGCAACUCGCCUGCAUGAAGCCGGAAUUGCUAGUAAUCGCGGAUCAGCAUGCCGCGGUGAAUCCGUUCCCGGGCCUUGUACACACCGCCCGUCACACCACGAGAGUUGGCAACACCCGAAGUCGGUGGGGUAACCCGAGAGGGGGCCAGCCGCCGAAGGUGGGGUCGAUGAUUGGGGUGAAGUCGUAACAAGGUAGCCGUAUCGA